GAAAGGUGAAGGACCCGGUCUUCGGACUGGGAGCGUACACAGGUGCUGCAUGGCUGUCGUCAGCUCGUGUCGUGAGAUGUUGGGUUAAGUCCCGCAACGAGCGCAACCCUUGUCCUUAGUUACCAGCACGUUAUGGUGGGCACUCUAAGGAGACUGCCGGUGACAAACCGGAGGAAGGUGGGGAUGACGUCAAGUCAUCAUGGCCUUUAUGACCAGGGCUACACACGUACUACAAUGGCCGAUACAAAGGGCAGCGACACUGCGAGGUGAAGCCAAUCCCGUAAAAUCGGUCUCAGUCCGGAUUGGAGUCUGCAACUCGACUCCAUGAAGUUGGAAUCGCUAGUAAUCGUGGAUCAGCAUGCCACGGUGAAUACGUUCCCGGGCCUU
Molecule: ribosomal RNA, 387 nt
Filed under: uncultured Desulfobulbus sp.
Lineage: Bacteria; Pseudomonadati; Thermodesulfobacteriota; Desulfobulbia; Desulfobulbales; Desulfobulbaceae
Description: bacterial SSU rRNA
Rfam family: Bacterial small subunit ribosomal RNA
Source: RNAcentral